RNAcentral lists this small nucleolar RNA (138 nucleotides) under Ornithorhynchus anatinus (platypus). The record is from RNAcentral. Lineage: Eukaryota; Metazoa; Chordata; Mammalia; Monotremata; Ornithorhynchidae.
CUCCUCUCAGGGUUGCACCUGGAGAGUUUCUGGUACUCUACCAGUCUUGAUUACGGGAGGGAGAGUCAAGCAGAGGCAUACCCAUUCCAUUCCUAGCUUGGCCAGUGGCUAGCGAGUGGAAGGCAGUCUGUUACAAGU